CUGAUGGUUCUGUGUCUCUGGAGAUCCCCUACUAAUACAAUUUAAGCCAAUUUCAUGUUUCGUACGGAGGUAUGUACCCAAGCUUUCAACGUGAUAAAUGGAAGGUAAAAAGAUUAGUGCCCCUUAGCAACCCUGCUCAAUCAGUUUUCAAGGCUUUUGUCAUCCUAAGGAGAUGUUCAUGGUUAGUGGUAAUUGCUAACUGGAUAAAUCUUGGAGUUCCUUAAACACGGUACCCUGAGCAUGCCUGUGGUUGAUUACCUUGGUUGUAUUAACUGAGAUGGGAAAAACCAUCUUAACUGUGGGCAGCAGAUCCUGAACAGUAGAAACUGAAGAAGAAGCAAAGCACUCCCAUGCCUUGCCCCUCUCUGCCUUCUGAUUGUGGAUGUGGGUGACCAGCUGCUUCAAGCUCCUGCUGCCUUGAUGUAUCUGACCAUCAUGAAGGACCUUGAACUGUGAGCCCAGACAGCAGACAAACAGACAAACAAACAAACAAAUAAAACACUUUCUCUACCAUGUUGCCUUUCAUCACAGAAACUACGACAGAGGUCAAAAACCUCAACUUGAAAGAGUAAACUUGAAGGCAAUAGGAGACAUCUGGGAAACCAUGACUGAAGUGGAGGUGUGUAUUUACCAUAAAUUGGUACCAUGGUUACGUUUGUGAUCUCAGUCUCCUCAAAUCUCUGAGCUAUAUGAAUCAGGAGAACUUAGUGAACUAUGGAUGCAAAGGGCUGCCUGCUGCAUACUGAAUACUGAGUUAAUCACUGGGACAGAUAUUAGCAUUUACCACACAACAAUCAGGAAGUCAAAUUUAAUUGUAACCACAAGUGCGGUGCUGGGCGCUGUUUUCAGUAGGGGUGAUAAGGUGCAAGUUCGGCAGCCAUAGUGAGGAUCAUACAGAAUCUAUAUGUACAAGAUACAUUUCAAAUGGACAAAUCUCAGUGCUUAAAUACCAAUGCAUUUCUUAUUCAUCUACCAAAACAAUGGUGAUGACGAUGACAAUGAUGAUGACAACAGAAGAUACUCAGAUGAAAUUAAAGAGACUCUAUUGAGAAAGGAAAGAAAACGGUACCCAGAAUCAACAAAUACCCUCUUCUCAGCAAGAGCUCAAGACUCCUUGCCAGGGUGUUAUAAUCGUGGUAUAGAACAGGCAUGUCCACAUUUCCUAUGAUUCAGUCCUGCCACGCUACUGUUCUUCACAAAAUUAGACCACACUUAAGAAGAGGAAACCAU
Molecule: long non-coding RNA, 1230 nt
Filed under: Mus spicilegus (steppe mouse)
Lineage: Eukaryota; Metazoa; Chordata; Mammalia; Rodentia; Muridae
Description: lncRNA (ENSMSIG00000031788.1)
Source: RNAcentral